This 427-nucleotide ribosomal RNA is filed under the name uncultured bacterium. RNAcentral describes it as "bacterial SSU rRNA". It matches the Rfam family "Bacterial small subunit ribosomal RNA", at positions 355 to 773 of the family's 1533-position model. The record is from RNAcentral.
UGGGGAAUUGUUCGCAAUGGGCGAAAGCCUGACGACGCAACGCCGCGUGGAGGAUGAAGAAUUUCGGUUCGUAAACUCCUUUCGACCGAGAUGAAUAUCCAGCGAUUUAAUACGUCGCGGGACUGACAGUAUCGAGCGAAGAAGCCCCGGCUAACUCUGUGCCAGCAGCCGCGGUAAUACAGGGGGGGCAAACGUUGCUCGGAAUCACUGGGCGUAAAGGGCGUGUAGGCGGACUUGCAAGUCAGGCGUGAAAUCCCUGGGCUCAACCCAGGAAUUGCACUUGAAACUGCAAGCCUUGAGUGUCGGAGAGGAAAGUGGAAUUCCUGGUGUAGAGGUGAAAUUCGUAGAUAUCAGGAGGAACACCGGUGGCGAAGGCGGCUUUCUGGACGACAACUGACGCUGAGACGCGAAAGCGUGGGGAGCAAAC